Molecule: long non-coding RNA, 489 nt
Organism: Hypanus sabinus (Atlantic stingray)
Lineage: Eukaryota; Metazoa; Chordata; Chondrichthyes; Myliobatiformes; Dasyatidae
Exons: 4
Source: RefSeq, a predicted model, not a curated record
CCUCUGCCAAUGGCAUUCUCCAGCCGGCUUGGUGAGCUGCUAAAGCAGAAUUCAAGAUGAACCCCCUGCUGAUUUGCACUUCCAUCAGCCCGGAUCCUCACCGCCGUUGAAUGCUGUAUCACAUGACCAAAGAUGCCCUAGUACCUUCUGAUGGACUGGAUGAAGAAGUGGGGCGACACAAGUCAACGGGAGAAUCAGGGAGCCAAAGGAAAUGGAAAUCAAGAAAAUGCAAAUGCUGGAAACUCGGAAGUCCAGGGGCACCAAACUGUAAGAUCCUCUCCGCUGCCUGACCAAGAGCUGCCAAAACUCAUUCAGCAUGCAAAUCCAAGGCAUAAUGGAAUAAGAUACAGCUGAGAUUCUAGCACCCCUGGAGAACUGAGAGCAAAUUAACCCAGAGUGAUAUCUGCCAACGUCACCAGUGACCUACCAGUCAAAUCUUUCCCGUGUGCUUUCGCAUUGCUGUUCCCAUUGAGGUCACCAUAUUGUCGC